Molecule: ribosomal RNA, 623 nt
Filed under: Pseudomonas sp. JY11(2014)
Lineage: Bacteria; Pseudomonadati; Pseudomonadota; Gammaproteobacteria; Pseudomonadales; Pseudomonadaceae
Description: bacterial SSU rRNA
Rfam family: Bacterial small subunit ribosomal RNA
Source: RNAcentral
GGACGGGUGAGUAAUGCCUAGGAAUCUGCCUGGUAGUAGGGGGAUAACGCUCGGAAACGGACGCUAAUACCGCAUACGUCCUACGGGAGAAAGCAGGGGACCUUCGGGCCUUGCGCUAUCAGAUGAGCCUAGGUCGGAUUAGCUAGUUGGUGAGGUAAUGGCUCACCAAGGCGACGAUCCGUAACUGGUCUGAGAGGAUGAUCAGUCACACUGGAACUGAGACACGGUCCAGACUCCUACGGGAGGCAGCAGUGGGGAAUAUUGGACAAUGGGCGAAAGCCUGAUCCAGCCAUGCCGCGUGUGUGAAGAAGGUCUUCGGAUUGUAAAGCACUUUAAGUUGGGAGGAAGGGUUGUAGAUUAAUACUCUGCAAUUUUGACGUUACCGACAGAAUAAGCACCGGCUAACUCUGUGCCAGCAGCCGCGGUAAUACAGAGGGUGCAAGCGUUAAUCGGAAUUACUGGGCGUAAAGCGCGCGUAGGUGGUUCGUUAAGUUGGAUGUGAAAGCCCCGGGCUCAACCUGGGAACUGCAUUCAAAACUGUCGAGCUAGAGUAUGGUAGAGGGUGGUGGAAUUUCCUGUGUAGCGGUGAAAUGCGUAGAUAUAGGAAGGAACACCAGUGGCGA